Molecule: ribosomal RNA, 460 nt
Filed under: uncultured bacterium
Lineage: Bacteria
Description: partial 16S ribosomal RNA
Rfam family: Bacterial small subunit ribosomal RNA
Source: RNAcentral
CCUACGGGUGGCAGCAGUGAGGAAUAUUGGUCAAUGGACGAGAGUCUGAACCAGCCAAGUAGCGUGAAGGAUGACUGCCCUAUGGGUUGUAAACUUCUUUUAUAUGGGAAUAAAACAGGGUAUGCAUACCCUCUUAUAUGUACCAUAUGAAUAAGGAUCGGCUAACUCCGUGCCAGCAGCCGCGGUAAUACGGAGGAUCCGAGCGUUAUCCGGAUUUAUUGGGUUUAAAGGGAGCGUAGGUGGAUUGUUAAGUCAGUUGUGAAAGUUUGCGGCUCAACCGUAAAAUUGCAGUUGAAACUGGCAGUCUGGAGUACAGUAGAGGUGGGCGGAAUUCGUGGUGUAGCGGUGAAAUGCUUAGAUAUCACGAAGAACUCCGAUUGCGAAGGCAGCUCACUGGACUGCAACUGACACUGAUGCUCGAAAGUGUGGGUAUCAAACAGGAUUAGAUACCCUAGUAGUC